Molecule: ribosomal RNA, 253 nt
Filed under: uncultured bacterium
Lineage: Bacteria
Description: partial 16S ribosomal RNA
Rfam family: Bacterial small subunit ribosomal RNA
Source: RNAcentral
UACGUAGGGGGCGAGCGUUGUCCGAAGUUACUGGGCGUAAAGAGCGUGUAGGCGGCCAUACAGGUCCGUUGUGAAAACUCGAGGCUCAACCUCGAGACGUCGAUGGAAACCGUAUGGCUAGAGUCCGGAAGAGGAGAGUGGAAUUCCUGGUGUAGCGGUGAAAUGCGCAGAUAUCAGGGAGAACACCCGUGGCGAAGGCGGCUCUCUGGGACGGUACUGACGCUGAGACGCGAAAGCGUGGGGAGCGAACAGG